GGGGAUAUGGCGGAAUUGGUAGACGCUACGGACUUAAAAUCCGUUGGUUUACGAAACUGUGAGGGUUCAAGUCCCUCUAUCCCCA
This 85-nucleotide transfer RNA is filed under the name Gnetum gnemon. RNAcentral's name for it is "tRNA-Leu". It matches the Rfam family "tRNA". Rfam says of the family: Transfer RNA (tRNA) molecules are approximately 80 nucleotides in length. The record is from RNAcentral. Lineage: Eukaryota; Viridiplantae; Streptophyta; Gnetopsida; Gnetales; Gnetaceae.